AAGGAUCAUUAGCAAGGUGAUAGAGGGGGGGUGUGGGGGUGAGGGGAAACUCUCUCCCCACCCACCGCCCAAAAACCCGGGCGUGGACCAGGAUUGUGUGUUGAUCAUGUGCCACGCCCAAUGGCCGCUUGAACGAUUGUCUAUCGACGAGAUUGCAAUGAUGCAUCUACUCUUAACAACGGAUCUCUCGGCUCCU
This 196-nucleotide unclassified non-coding RNA is filed under the name uncultured fungus. Its description in RNAcentral is "partial contains 18S rRNA, ITS1, 5.8S rRNA, ITS2 and 28S rRNA". The record is from RNAcentral. Lineage: Eukaryota; Fungi.